UUGUUCAUGUAAUGAUGAUGGGCCCCAUUGUUAUAUGAGCCCACCUAAAGGUGGUCAAAUGAUAUUCACAGAAGAUUAACUCUGCACUAAGCAUUCUUUGAGUGAUGAUAUAACUGGGGUAUUGAAAUGGUCCCUUUUCCUUUGCUUGAAGUUAUCAAUUGUAAAUUAUGGAAAUAGCGAUUCAUGAUCUCAGUAGCUACUUUAUUUGUUAAUGAUGCUGGUAACUUCGUGUAUGGAAUGGUACAAACGUUUUGAAUGGACAUUGUAUAACGGAAUAUGUACGUAUGACCAUUAACAUUGGAGUGAUUGGACUAAAAACGUACUGUAUUCUACGAAAAUGGAAAACAAGCGAGAGGAAAAACACAAUCCAUGUCUUGAGUUAUAUGACCAGGUAAUUUCCUAACCCUGGAAUCCGUUACUAUACUACCAAGUAUUUGCAGCUGCUGGAAUCCGAUACUACAAUCGUUGAAGAUCGAAGAUCGCUAUUGGAGCCAGUGUCCUUCUGCCAGAAAUAAAGUGGAAGAUCACAUUCACUGACUUAAAUGGUUCAGCCCGUCGGCCUGUUGUGCAUACUUUUGGUCCUUAACUUGAAGUUCCAAGCACCUAUCAGUGCUAAAUGAAGUAGCGGAAGAUUCUUUAUCCAUUCUUCGCGAGAAAAGUUCAUGGACGUUCGAUAUUGUCUAGUGAGGACGUUAAAGUCAUAUCUACACAUCUAAGUUCCCGUUUGCACUAUACCGGAUUGCUAUCGUAGCAGGUUGAAUAUUCUUUAUAUUAAAAGGCAGGGAAAUUGUUCAAUGUCAGAAACACAAUCAAAUGGACUAAAUCUAUCAGCUUAAUAGGCUUUUACUCCGAGCAGUUACCCCUUAAAAGCAAAUGAAGAUGUCGUGAUCAGCGAAUACGGUAUAGUGUAAACGCAGCCUAAAUAUUAUAUGACAUUCCGAUAUUGUAUUUGCUGUUUGUGGUGAAAACCAUAAUAUACUGUUGAAACAAUUAUUUCACCAACUGAUUGAUUUAUUAUUUGUAUUUUGUAGAAACUAUAAAUAUCUGCUUUAGUUAGCUUUCAGUCUGGGUUUUUUUGCAACAACCAUGUAGGAUUUUGUCAUCACUUCCUUAACAGUAUUGUAACGUAUAAAAGUGCUUGUAGUUUUGUUUUAAUAAUUUCUACUAAUGUAAUAUUGUAUUGCUUCUUCGA
Molecule: long non-coding RNA, 1192 nt
Organism: Xenia sp. Carnegie-2017
Lineage: Eukaryota; Metazoa; Cnidaria; Anthozoa; Malacalcyonacea; Xeniidae
Exons: 3
Source: RefSeq, a predicted model, not a curated record